Long non-coding RNA from Bufo gargarizans (Asiatic toad), 3356 nucleotides. RefSeq lists it as uncharacterized. The transcript is spliced from 3 exons. NCBI's taxonomy places the organism in Eukaryota, Metazoa, Chordata, Amphibia, Anura, Bufonidae. The record is from RefSeq and is a predicted model, not a curated record.
AUCAUAAAGUAACACAAAGAGACAUUCAAGACAAGUCAUCAUCUGGACUGCGGCAUCCAGACAUCCAUCAAAGCCCCAAUGGUCAGGGCAGAGGCUUGCGUGACGGAAAACACAAUGCUCUGGUAAAGUUGAACACAGACUAGACACAUUUACCCAUCAAUCUCUGUCAAAAUAUAAAAAAUAUCUGACCAACGUAAAUGAAGGAACAGUGAUAGGGGAAAGCGGAGAAUGUCCCAUAUCAACAAAGUCAGUAUGGAAGAAGCAUCAAAGGGGAGAUCAAAGCAGGAAUGAGACAAUAAACCAAACAGCUAGAAGUCCCUCAGCAACAUGUGUCCUCAAGUCCUCUUCUGAGAUGAACGGCUUCCAUCUGAGCCCAAAGAGAAGAUCACAGGAGACUUGUAGCCUUGGACUGCUUUCCCCUAUUUGCGUGAGAUCCCUGAGGAGAAGAAAUCUUGUAAAGCUUCACACUACCUGUGGAUGGAUGCCAAAACCUGACUUGUGCCCCAUUCCUUCAUGGGUCCCAUUGAAGAAGCCUUGCCUGCCUCUAUGAUAUGUAUCACAUUGUUUGUCCGGACACCUGAGGAUCGGAGUGACUAUGUAAAUCAAUACGACUCUCAAAAUAUUAACUGUCGAUGACACUUUUCUCGAGCAAAUUCAUAUGGACCCACCCCCAUAGAUUACAGCAUUUCUUAACAUUUGUAUUUGUUUCACCAUUUCAUUUCCAGUUUUUGUUUGUUUGCCCACAAGUCUCAGCACCACAUCCACAUUUCAAAUGCUCUCCUAAAGAACUGUGUAUUGUGUUUUUCUGGGUUCAUGAAUAGAAUGCCAUACAUACAGUAGAGACUGACACACAAGCAGAGCAAUAGUUGUUAAAAUAAAUGGAGAGUUGAUCUAAAACAAUUCAGAUUUGUAUUGGCGGCCACUAGUGGUUGUCGCCCACAAUUUGUUUCGGAGAGAGUGAGAAAUACGUUCAUAAAUACAUUAAAAAAUAAUAUUACAAAAUAAUAACAGAAAUAAAUCUAAGACUUAUUUUCCAGCAUUUUUAAGCUACAUUUUACUUUUUUAGACAGUUUUAUUCUCUUGAGAAACCUUCAGAGAUUUCCAUCUGCCAACUUUAGGGCCGGAAUUAUUACAAUCAUCGUUUCUUCGAACUCCACACACGGCCUAUAGAGAAUUGGACCUCCUCGUCUGAUUGCCUUAGAGCAGAUGUUUCCAUUCAUGUAGAUGAUGUAACAUCGUCUGGUGAUAUGGUUUUUGGCUUUUUGCUAUCUGAAGUCAUUUUUUAGUAUGAGUAUUUCCCACACCAUUAUCCUAUAUACAGCCAAAUGAAGCGCUGCUCUGAAGGCGUUCCAGGGAGCUUCCGCUUACUCAUACAGCUAUGCGAACGGUUCAAACAUAUUUAUUUGUUCAUUGAUACAACUACGUACGACAACAUUAUUAUCAUAAGACUCAUUAAUCAUUUCUGUUCUUACUAGGUAUAGAUGAGACACUGUUCAAAAUCCUCUAUAUAGCAGGGAUCAGCAACCUCCGGCGCUCCAGCUGUUCUGAAACUGCAACUCCCAGAAUCCUCCUUUCACUUCUAUAGGAGUUACUAGAACAGCCAAGAAAAUGUGCAUGCUGGGAGUUGUAGUUUCACAGCAGCUGGAGUGCCAAAGGUUGCUGCCCCCUGCUAUAUAGGAUCAGAGUCAAAGGGGUUGGCAUUUAUCAUGUAGAGAAAGUUAAUACAAGGCACUUACUAAUGUAUUGUGAUUGUCCAUAUUGCAGGCCAGUGAUUUCAAUGGAACUUACAAAAACUAAGGAUACCUGCCAGUCACAUUGAAAGGGGUGGAGUUGGUACUACUGUAAUUUGGCAAAACCCAGCGGACACUUGCCAGCAUGGCGCUAACAUGAAUGAAAGUUCUAGCUAUGCUACCGCUAUGGAAUGUUUGCACUUGUUACAUGUUCCUUUACUAUUGAUGGACUAUCCUCAGGGUAGACCAUCAAUAUCUAAUCGCAAAGGGGCCGACACCCCUCACCCUGUUGAUCCAGAGUAGCUCCGAUGCUGGGAUUAAACAGCUCUGCUCCGAUUCACUUCAAGGGGCGUGGCGAUAACCAGCUCCGCCCAUUACACAAUGGACAGCGAUGUCUAGUACCGGUGCCAACUUCCAGCACCAGAGCUAAUACAGAAAAGUGGAUUGGCAGGGGUGUGAGGUGCCGGACUUCUGUUGAUCCGAUAUUGAGUGGACAACCCCUAUAAAAUUCAAGUCUACCUGAAUCUUUCACCUUGAUGUUGGUGAUGUCACUGAGUGAAAUUAUAAGUUGCAUCCAAAUGGGUUAAGCCCCCUUCUCUUGGGAAACAGUGGAGGUUCAGCCCAUAGACCUCAAUUUAUUUGUUCUUAUGAAAUGUACCCUAUGAUCUAAAAAAUAUGCAGAAUACAGGAAAAUAUACCGAGCAUUGCAAAUAAUAUUAGGCUGAUCUUCAUGUAACGUUAUAACCUAUAAUCACACUACACUAUAACAUACAUAGAUAGAUGUGGACAUAAUACGGCCCCCUAAUUUUCAUAUCAUCUUUCAACCUAAAAAGGACCUUUAGAGGAUGAAAAAGCCAUGAUUACCCCAUAUAUCCAAGGAGGUAACUUUGAGAAUGGGCUUGAUCUAGCUACCAUGAGACCCGUAGAUUACAUCAUGUCAGCUGUAGAUCCUUCAUGGGACUGUGAAUUCAUAAAGCAAAUAUUGUGGCUCCAGAACUAACCUGCAACUAUUUUAUUCAACCUCUGAAUCAUUGCUCAUAACCAGCCUCACACCACAUAAUCCAUUGUGGUUGACUGAGCAAUAGAGGCCACCUACCAUGUGUGAUACUUCUGGUUGAUGAAACCACAAGAACAGUUAGGGAGGGUGACUUAUAUGGAUGGACAAAGCAAACCCAUUGUCUCUCUUCAAAAAGAACAUGAAAGUGGUGGCAACCAGAACAGUGCCUAGACCUAUGGUAGGGUAGACCUAUGGUAUGGUAGACCUAUGGUACUGGAUCAAAGAGGCUCCAACCUCAGCAAGAUCUCUGACGGAUCUCCAUCUCUCUGUCUUCUGCUGCAAGCUGAGCAAGUACACCCGGCCUCGCUGUACAUGUGCCAGAAGGAGUGGGACAAAUAGGUGGAGAUUUUAGUAGAGAUUCUGGUCAGGUUGGAGCCUCUUUGGGUCUUCAGUGAAACCACAAUGGGUGUGAUUGCAGCCUGGACUGUGUGACGAUUCUUGGGCCUAGCACCACCCAGUUGACAAGUAGAAGGUAAUAUGUAUACAGUUUGCAUGUGAAUAUAAUGUUAUUUAGUAUCAGACAGUUAAUGCUAACAAGCUGCAUAACAUGGUGGUUGGAGUUAUGUCAG